RNAcentral lists this ribosomal RNA (1516 nucleotides) under Nocardiopsis viridoflava. Its description in RNAcentral is "bacterial SSU rRNA". It matches the Rfam family "Bacterial small subunit ribosomal RNA". The record is from RNAcentral. Lineage: Bacteria; Bacillati; Actinomycetota; Actinomycetes; Streptosporangiales; Nocardiopsidaceae.
UCGAGCGGUAAGGCCCUUCGGGGUACACGAGCGGCGAACGGGUGAGUAACACGUGAGCAACCUGCCCCCGACUCCGGGAUAAGCGGUGGAAACGCCGUCUAAUACCGGAUACGACACACCGCCUCAUGGCGGUGUGUGGAAAGUUUUUCGGUCGGGGAUGGGCUCGCGGCCUAUCAGCUUGUUGGUGGGGUAACGGCCUACCAAGGCGAUUACGGGUAGCCGGCCUGAGAGGGCGACCGGCCACACUGGGACUGAGACACGGCCCAGACUCCUGCGGGAGGCAGCAGUGGGGAAUAUUGCGCAAUGGGCGAAAGCCUGACGCAGCGACGCCGCGUGGGGGAUGACGGCCUUCGGGUUGUAAACCUCUUUUACCACCAACGCAGGCUCCCAGUUCUCUGGGGGUUGACGGUAGGUGGGGAAUAAGGACCGGCUAACUACGUGCCAGCAGCCGCGGUAAUACGUAGGGUCCGAGCGUUGUCCGGAAUUAUUGGGCGUAAAGAGCUCGUAGGCGGCGUGUCACGUCUGCUGUGAAAGACCGGGGCUUAACUCCGGUUCUGCAGUGGAUACGGGCAUGCUAGAGGUAGGUAGGGGAGACUGGAAUUCUGGUGUAGCGGUGAAAUGCGCAGAUAUCAGAGGAACACCGGUGGCAAGGCGGGUCUUUGGCCUUACCUGACCUGAAGAAGCGAAAGCAUGGGAAGCGAACAGGAUUAGAUACCCUGGUAGUCCAUGCCGUAAACGUUGGGCGCUAGGUGUGGGGACUUUCCACGGUUUCCGCGCCGCAGCUAACGCAUUAAGCGCCCCGCCUGGGGAGUACGGCCGCAAGGCUAAAACUCAAAGGAAUUGACGGGUGUGGGGACAAGCGGCGGAGCAUGUUGCUUAAUUCGACGCAACGCGAAGAACCUUACCAAGGUUUGACAUCGCCCGUGGACCUGUAGAGAUUCACGGUCAUUUAGUUGCUGGGUGACAGUUGCUGCAUGGCUGUCGUCAGCUCGUGUCUUGAGAUGUUGGGUUAAGUCCCGCAACGAGCGCAACCCCUAUUCUAAGUUGCCAGUGCGUGACAGGUGGUGCAUGGCUGUCGUCAGCUCGUGUCGUGAGAUGUUAGGUUAAGUCGCGCAACGAGCGUCAAGCCCCUUAUUUCUUGUUCCGCACGUAUGGUGCGAUCAUAGGAGACUGCCGCGGUCGACUCGGAGGAAGGUGGGGACGACGUCAAGUCAUCAUGCCCCUUAUGUCUUGGGCUGCAAACAUGCUACAAUGGCCGGUACAAUGGGCGUGCGAGACCGCAAGGUGGAGCGAAUCCCUAAAAGCCGGUCUCAGUUCGGAUUGGGGUCUGCAACUCGACCCCAUGAAGGUGGGAGUCGCUAGUAAUCGCGGAUCAGCAACGCCGCGGUGAAUACGUUCCCGGGCCUUGUACACACCGCCCGUCACGUCAUGAAAGUCGGCAACACCCGAAACUUGUGGUCUAACCCUUCGGGGAGGAAUGAGUGAAGGUGGGGGCUGGCGAUUGGGACGAAGUCGU